This 254-nucleotide ribosomal RNA is filed under the name uncultured bacterium. Its description in RNAcentral is "partial 16S ribosomal RNA". It matches the Rfam family "Bacterial small subunit ribosomal RNA", at positions 524 to 776 of the family's 1533-position model. The record is from RNAcentral.
UACGUAGGGUGCAGGCGUUAAUCGGAAUUACUGGGCGUAAAGCGUGCGCAGGCGGUUAUUUAAGUCAGGUGUGAAAGCCCUGGGCUUAACCUAGGAAUUGCGCUUGAGACUGGAUAGCUUGGAGUGCGGCAGAGGGAGGUGGAAUUCCACGUGUAGCAGUGAAAUGCGUAGAGAUGUGGAGGAACACCGAUGGCGAAGGCAGCCUCCUGGGCCAGCACUGACGCUCAUGCACGAAAGCGUGGGGAGCAAACAGG